Molecule: transfer RNA, 34 nt
Filed under: Ephedra sinica (Chinese ephedra)
Lineage: Eukaryota; Viridiplantae; Streptophyta; Gnetopsida; Ephedrales; Ephedraceae
Also listed under: 1 other name
Description: partial tRNA-Leu
Source: RNAcentral
GACUUAAAAUCCGUUGGUCUACGAGACCUUGAGG